RNAcentral lists this transfer RNA (76 nucleotides) under Planctomycetota bacterium. RNAcentral describes it as "tRNA-Phe". It matches the Rfam family "tRNA". Rfam says of the family: Transfer RNA (tRNA) molecules are approximately 80 nucleotides in length. Their secondary structure includes four short double-helical elements and three loops (D, anti-codon, and T loops). Lineage: Bacteria; Pseudomonadati; Planctomycetota. The record is from RNAcentral.
GGUCGGAUAGCUCAGCUGGUAGAGCACGGCGCUGAAAACGCCGGUGUCCCCGGUUCAAAUCCGGGUCCGACCACCA